CUCCUACGGGAGGCAGCAGUGGGGAAUUUUGGACAAUGGGCGCAAGCCUGAUCCAGCCAUGCCGCGUGAGUGAAGAAGGCCUUCGGGUUGUAAAGCUCUUUCGGCAGGAACGAAAUGGUCCGUGCUAAUACCACGGAUUGAUGACGGUACCUGAAGAAGAAGCACCGGCUAACUACGUGCCAGCAGCCGCGGUAAUACGUAGGGUGCAGGCGUUAAUCGGAAUUACUGGGCGUAAAGCGUGCGCAGGCGGUUUCUUAAGUCAGAUGUGAAAGCCCCGGGCUUAACCUGGGAACUGCGUUUGAAACUGGGAGACUUGAGUGUGGCAGAGGGGGGUGGAAUUCCACGUGUAGCAGUGAAAUGCGUAGAUAUGUGGAGGAACACCGAUGGCGAAGGCAGCCCCCUGGGUUAACACUGACGCUCAUGCACGAAAGCGUGGGGAGCAAACAGGAUUAGAUACCCUGGUAGUCCACGCCCUAAACUAUGUCAACUAGUUGUCGGGGAAGCAAUUCUUUGGUAACGAAGCUAACGCGUGAAGUUGACCGCCUGGGGAGUACGGUCGCAAGAUUAAAACUCAAAGGAAUUGACGG
Molecule: ribosomal RNA, 587 nt
Filed under: uncultured bacterium
Lineage: Bacteria
Description: bacterial SSU rRNA
Rfam family: Bacterial small subunit ribosomal RNA
Source: RNAcentral